UAGAGUUUGAUCAUGGCUCAGGAUGAACGCUGGCGGCGUGCUUAACACAUGCAAGUCGAACGGACUCAUAUUGAAACCUAGUGAUUUAUGAGUUAGUGGCGGACGGGUGAGUAACGCGUGGAUAACCUGCCGUAUACCGGGGGAUAACACUUAGAAAUAGGUGCUAAUACCGCAUAAGCGCACGGCUCCGCAUGGGGCAGUGUGAAAAACUCCGGUGGUAUACGAUGGAUCCGCGUCUGAUUAGCUAGUUGGCGGGGUAACGGCCCACCAAGGCAGCGAUCAGUAGCCGGCCUGAGAGGGUGGACGGCCACAUUGGGACUGAGACACGGCCCAAACUCCUACGGGAGGCAGCAGUGGGGAAUAUUGCACAAUGGGGGAAACCCUGAUGCAGCGACGCCGCGUGAGUGAAGAAGUAUUUCGGUAUGUAAAGCUCUAUCAGCAGGGAAGAAGAUGACGGUCCUACGGAUUGUAAACCUCUUUUGCCGGGGAGCAAGCGUGCGUUCGUGAACGCGCGUCGAGAGUACCCGGAGAAAAAGCAUCGGCUAACUCCGUGCCAGCAGCCGCGGUAAUACGGAGGAUGCGAGCGUUAUCCGGAUUUAUUGGGUUUAAAGGGUGCGUAGGCGGGAUGCCAAGUCAGCGGUAAAAAAGCGGUGCUCAACGCCGUCGAGCCGUUGAAACUGGCGUUCUUGAGUGGGCGAGAAGUAUGCGGAAUGCGUGGUGUAGCGGUGAAAUGCAUAGAUAUCACGCAGAACUCCGAUUGCGAAGGCAGCAUACCGGCGCCCUACUGACGCUGAGGCACGAAAGCGUGGGUAUCGAACAGGAUUAGAUACCCUGGUAGUCCACGCAGUAAACGAUGAAUGCUAACUGUCCGGUGCGAGUGAGCGCUGGGCGGUACAGCGAAAGCGUUAAGCAUU
This 914-nucleotide ribosomal RNA is filed under the name uncultured bacterium. RNAcentral describes it as "bacterial SSU rRNA". It matches the Rfam family "Bacterial small subunit ribosomal RNA", at positions 1 to 868 of the family's 1533-position model. The record is from RNAcentral.